RNAcentral lists this ribosomal RNA (1348 nucleotides) under uncultured bacterium. RNAcentral describes it as "partial 16S ribosomal RNA". It matches the Rfam family "Bacterial small subunit ribosomal RNA", at positions 28 to 1381 of the family's 1533-position model. The record is from RNAcentral.
GACGAACGCUGGCGGCUGUGCUUAACACAUGCAAGUCGAACGGAAAGGCCCUGCUUUUGUGGGGUGCUCGAGUGGCGAACGGGUGAGUAACACGUGAGUAACCUGCCCUUGACUUUGGGAUAACUUCAGGAAACUGGGGCUAAUACCGGAUAGGAGCUCCUGCUGCAUGGUGGGGGUUGGAAAGUUUCGGCGGUUGGGGAUGGACUCGCGGCUUAUCAGCUUGUUGGUGGGGUAGUGGCUUACCAAGGCUUUGACGGGUAGCCGGCCUGAGAGGGUGACCGGCCACAUUGGGACUGAGAUACGGCCCAGACUCCUACGGGAGGCAGCAGUGGGGAAUAUUGCACAAUGGGCGGAAGCCUGAUGCAGCAACGCCGCGUGCGGGAUGACGGCCUUCGGGUUGUAAACCGCUUUCGCCUGUGACGAAGCGUGAGUGACGGUAAUGGGUAAAGAAGCACCGGCUAACUACGUGCCAGCCAGCCGCGGUGAUACGUAGGGUGCGAGCGUUGUCCGGAUUUAUUGGGCGUAAACGGCUCGUAGGUGGUUGAUCGCGUCGGAAGUGUAAUCUUGGGGCUUAACCCUGAGCGUGCUUUCGAUACGGGUUGACUUGAGGAAGGUAGGGGAGAAUGGAAUUCCUGGUGGAGCGGUGGAAUGCGCAGAUAUCAGGAGGAACACCAGUGGCGAAGGCGGUUCUCUGGGCCUUUCCUGACGCUGAGGAGCGAAAGCGUGGGGAGCGAACAGGCUUAGAUACCCUGGUAGUCCACGCUGUAAACGGUGGGUACUAGGUGUGGGGUCCAUUCCACGGGUUCCGUGCCGUAGCUAACGCUUUAAGUACCCCGCCUGGGGAGUACGGCCGCAAGGCUAAAACUCAAAGGAAUUGACGGGGCCCCGCACAAGCGGCGGAGCAUGCGGAUUAAUUCGAUGCAACGCGUAGAACCUUACCUGGGUUUGACAUGGAUCGGGAGUGCUCAGAGAUGGGUGUGCCUCUUUUGGGGUCGGUUCACAGGUGGUGCAUGGCUGUCGUCAGCUCGUGUCGUGAGAUGUUGGGUUAAGUCCCGCAACGAGCGCAACCCUUGUUCACUGUUGCCAGCACGUUAUGGUGGGGACUCAGUGGAGACCGCCGGGGUCAACUCGGAGGAAGGUGGGGAUGACGUCAAGUCAUCAUGCCCCUUAUGUCCAGGGCUUCACGCAUGCUACAAUGGCUGGUACAGAGAGUGGCGAGCCUGUGAGGGUGAGCGAAUCUCGGAAAGCCGGUCUCAGUUCGGAUUGGGGUCUGCAACUCGACCUCAUGAAGUCGGAGUCGCUAGUAAUCGCAGAUCAGCAACGCUGCGGUGAAUACGUUCCCGGGGCU